UCCUGGUUAACCCAGGCAGUCUCGCUAGAGUGCCCGACAUUACUCGCUGGCAACUAACGACAAGGGUUGCGCUCGUUGCGGGACUUAACCCAACACCUCACGGCACGAGCUGACGACAGCCAUGCAGCACCUGUGCAAAUGUCCCUUGCGGGAAAUAAUCAUCUCUGAUUACGUCAUAUGCAUGUCAAAUCCAGGUAAGGUUCUUCGCGUUGCAUCGAAUUAAACCACAUGCUCCACUGCUUGUGCGGGUCCCCGUCAAUUCUUUUGAGUUUCACCCUUGCGAGUGUACUCCCCAGGCGGCAUACUUAUCGCGUUAGCUUCGGCACAGUCGGGGUUGAGUCCGACUACGCCAAGUAUGCAUCGUUUAAGGCAAGGACUAC
This 380-nucleotide unclassified non-coding RNA is filed under the name uncultured Chlamydiales bacterium. RNAcentral describes it as "contains 16S-23S intergenic spacer region". Lineage: Bacteria; Pseudomonadati; Chlamydiota; Chlamydiia; Chlamydiales. The record is from RNAcentral.